GCGAACGGGGAUCAGCCCAUUAAGUUAUGUGUGUUUUAGUGGAACGCUCUGGGAAGUGCGAACGUAGAGGGUGAUAUUCCCGUACACGAAAGGGCACACAUAAUGAUGACGAGUAGGGCGAGGCACGUGAAACCUUGUCUGAAUAUGGGGGGACCAUCCUCCAAGGCUAAAUACUCCUGACUGACCGAUAGUGAACCAGUACCGUGAGGGAAAGGCGAAAAGAACCCCUGUGAGGGGAGUGAAAUAGAUCCUGAAACCGCAUGCAUACAAGCAGUGGGAGCACCUUCGUGGUGUGACUGCGUACCUUUUGUAUAAUGGGUCAGCGACUUAUAUUCAGUAGCGAGGUUAACCGUAUAGGGGAGCCGUAGAGAAAUCGAGUCUUAAUAGGGCGUUUAGUUGCUGGGUAUAGACCCGAAACCAGGCGAUCUAUCCAUGAGCAGGUUGAAGGUUGGGUAACACUAACUGGAGGACCGAACCCACUGUCGUUGAAAAGCCAGGGGAUGACUUGUGGAUAGGGGUGAAAGGCUAAUCAAGCCUGGUGAUAGCUGGUUCUCCCCGAAAGCUAUUUAGGUAGCGCCUCGGACGAAUACCAUAGGGGGUAGAGCACUGUUUCGGCUAGGGGGUCAUCCCGACUUACCAAACCGAUGCAAACUCCGAAUACCUAUGAGUACUAUCCGGGAGACAGACUGCGGGUGCUAACGUCCGUAGUCAAGAGGAAAACAAUCCAGACCGCCAGCUAAGGCCCCAAAAUCAUAGUUAAGUGGGAAACGAUGUGGGAAGGCAUAGACAGCUAGGAGGUUGGCUUAGAAGCAGCCACCCUUUAAAGAAAGCGUAAUAGCUCACUAGUCGAGUCGGCCUGCGCGGAAGAUGUAACGGGGCUAAAACUAUGUGCCGAAGCUGCGGAUGUAUACUUUGUAUACGUGGGUAGGGAGCGUUCUGUAAGCCCGAUGAAAGGUGUGUUGGAGGAGGCAUGCUGGGAGGUAUCC
Molecule: ribosomal RNA, 986 nt
Filed under: Acinetobacter baumannii
Lineage: Bacteria; Pseudomonadati; Pseudomonadota; Gammaproteobacteria; Moraxellales; Moraxellaceae
Description: bacterial LSU rRNA
Rfam family: Bacterial large subunit ribosomal RNA
Source: RNAcentral